AUACGGAGGGUGCAAGCGUUAAUCGGAAUUACUGGGCGUAAAGCGUACGUAGGCGGUUAUUUAAGUCAGAUGUGAAAGCCCCGGGCUUAACUUGGGAACUGCAUUUGAAACUGGGUAACUAGAGUUUAGUAGAGGGGAGUGGAAUUUCAGGUGUAGCGGUGAAAUGCGUAGAGAUCUGAAGGAACACCAGUGGCGAAGGCGACUCCCUGGACUAAAACUGACGCUGGGGUACGAAAGCGUGGGUAGCGAACAGGAUUAGAAACCCUAGUAGUCC
RNAcentral lists this ribosomal RNA (274 nucleotides) under uncultured bacterium. Its description in RNAcentral is "partial 16S ribosomal RNA". It matches the Rfam family "Bacterial small subunit ribosomal RNA", at positions 523 to 796 of the family's 1533-position model. The record is from RNAcentral.